UUUAUUUAUAUUCUUAUUUUUUUAAUUAAUUUAAAUUAAUAUUGACAAUCCAAUAAAAAAAUAAUUUAUAACGGUGACACAAAAUCGGAGGCCACGACUGUUUACUAAAAACACAACACAGUGCAAUCAUUAAUAUGAUAGUAUACUGUGUGAAAUUUGCCCGAUGCCAUUAAUAUAAGAGCGAUCAUGGUUUUCUGUGAUUAAUCGAAAAUCUGGUUAAUAGCGGUCUUAACUAUGAGGAUCCUAAGGUAGCAAAAUAAAUUGGCCUUUAAAUGAGGUCCGGUAUCAAUAAUGUAACGAUGGUCUCACUGUCUCUACAACUUGCUCAGUGAAAUUGAAUUACGCGUGCAGAUGCGCGUUGCCUUCAGGGGGACGGGAAGACCCUAUGCAG
This 391-nucleotide ribosomal RNA is filed under the name Laccaria amethystina. RNAcentral describes it as "partial large subunit ribosomal RNA". It matches the Rfam family "Bacterial large subunit ribosomal RNA", at positions 1723 to 2098 of the family's 2925-position model. The record is from RNAcentral. Lineage: Eukaryota; Fungi; Basidiomycota; Agaricomycetes; Agaricales; Hydnangiaceae.